AGCAGCCGCGGUAAUUCCAGCUCCAAUAGCGUAUAUUAAAGUUGUUGCAGUUAAAAAGCUCGUAGUUGAAUUUCGGGAUCAAUUAAUUGGUCGUGCCUCUGGUACGUACUGAUUUUAUUGGUUUCUCCCUUCUGACGAACCAUGAUGUCAUUAAUUUGAUGUCGUGGAGAAUCAGGACUGUUACUUUGAAAAAAUUAGAGUGUUUAAAGCAAGCUAACGCUUGAAUACAUUAGCAUGGAAUAAUGAAAUAGGACGUUUGAUCCUAUUUGUUGGUUUCUAGGAUCGACGUAAUGAUUAAUAGGGAUAGUUGGGGGCAUUAGUAUUCAAUUGUCAGAGGUGAAAUUCUUGGAUUUAUUGAAGACUAACUACUGCGAAAGCAUUUGCCAAGGAUGUUUUCAUUAAUCAAGAACGAAAGUUAGGGGAUCGAAGACGAUCAGAUACCGUCGUAGUCUUAACCAUAAACUAUGCCGACUAGGG
RNAcentral lists this ribosomal RNA (477 nucleotides) under uncultured Glomus. RNAcentral's name for it is "SSU rRNA". It matches the Rfam family "Eukaryotic small subunit ribosomal RNA", at positions 569 to 1051 of the family's 1831-position model. The record is from RNAcentral. Lineage: Eukaryota; Fungi; Glomeromycota; Glomeromycetes; Glomerales; Glomeraceae.